This 253-nucleotide ribosomal RNA is filed under the name uncultured bacterium. Its description in RNAcentral is "partial 16S ribosomal RNA". It matches the Rfam family "Bacterial small subunit ribosomal RNA", at positions 524 to 776 of the family's 1533-position model. The record is from RNAcentral.
UACGUAGGGUGCAAGCGUUAAUCGGAAUUACUGGGCGUAAAGCGUGCGCAGGCGGCUUGCUAAGACAGGUGUGAAAGCCCCGAGCUUAACUUGGGAAUGGCGCUUGUGACUGGCAGGCUGGAGUGUGGCAGAGGGAGGUGGAAUUCCACGUGUAGCAGUGAAAUGCGUAGAGAUGUGGAGGAACACCGAUGGCGAAGGCAGCCUCCUGGGCCAACACUGACGCUCAUGCACGAAAGCUAGGGGAGCAAACGGG